This is a long non-coding RNA of Sinocyclocheilus anshuiensis, 88 nucleotides long. RefSeq lists it as uncharacterized. The record is from RefSeq and is a predicted model, not a curated record. NCBI's taxonomy places the organism in Eukaryota, Metazoa, Chordata, Actinopteri, Cypriniformes, Cyprinidae. The transcript is spliced from 3 exons.
UUUUUUUAUUAAACACAAAAAAAGUUCUAUCUUUGGCAAAUGUGAAAGCACUUUCACACCAAAAGUAAAAGGAAUAAGCCUCAGGCUG